UACGUAGGGACCAAGCGUUGUUCGGAUUUACUGGGCGUAAAGGGCGCGUAGGCGGCGUGGUAAGUCAGCUGUGAAAUCUCCGAGCUUAACUCGGAACGGUCAGCUGAUACUGCUGUGCUAGAGUGCAGAAGGGGCAAUCGGAAUUCUUGGUGUAGCGGUGAAAUGCGUAGAUAUCAAGAGGAACACCUGAGGUGAAGACGGGUUGCUGGGCUGACACUGACGCUGAGGCGCGAAAGCCAGGGGAGCAAACGGG
This 253-nucleotide ribosomal RNA is filed under the name uncultured bacterium. Its description in RNAcentral is "partial 16S ribosomal RNA". It matches the Rfam family "Bacterial small subunit ribosomal RNA", at positions 524 to 776 of the family's 1533-position model. The record is from RNAcentral.